AAAAAGAAAAAAGGAAGAAGAAGAAGGAGAUGAAGAAUGGAUAAGGAAAUGGAAAGAUCAAAAUGCAUAAGGUGAAAUCAAAUGUACCAAUCCAUAUGUAUUGACCAAAUGACAUUGAAAGUCAAAGUCAAACAAUGAGAAAUCAGAAAUGAGAUGAAGAUUGGAGGUCAAACAAUAAGCAAAAUAUUUUUGGUAUUUUCAACAUUAAAAUAAACUUGAAUUA
RNAcentral lists this long non-coding RNA (223 nucleotides) under Lathyrus oleraceus (garden pea). RNAcentral's name for it is "Pisum sativum (pea) long non-coding RNA (PSAT_LNC025608)". The record is from RNAcentral. Lineage: Eukaryota; Viridiplantae; Streptophyta; Magnoliopsida; Fabales; Fabaceae.